Non-coding RNA from Gymnothorax javanicus (giant moray), 70 nucleotides. NCBI's taxonomy places the organism in Eukaryota, Metazoa, Chordata, Actinopteri, Anguilliformes, Muraenidae. The record is from the annotation of a GenBank genome assembly.
UGCUGGAUAGCUCACUCGGUAAAGCAUCGCGUUGCGAAGCAGAAGUGUGGGUUCAAUCCCCGCUUCGUAC